RNAcentral lists this ribosomal RNA (522 nucleotides) under Borreliella burgdorferi (Lyme disease spirochete). Its description in RNAcentral is "bacterial SSU rRNA". It matches the Rfam family "Bacterial small subunit ribosomal RNA", at positions 29 to 544 of the family's 1533-position model. The record is from RNAcentral. Lineage: Bacteria; Pseudomonadati; Spirochaetota; Spirochaetia; Spirochaetales; Borreliaceae.
AACUAACGCUGGCAGUGCGUCUUAAGCAUGCAAGUCAAACGGGAUGUAGUAAUACAUUCAGUGGCGAACGGGUGAGUAACGCGUGGAUGAUCUACCUACGAGAUGGGGAUAACUAUUAGAAAUAGUAGCUAAUACCGAAUAAGGUCAAUUAAUUUGUUAAGUGAUGAAAGGAAGCCUUUAAAGCUUCGCUUGUAGAUGAGUCUGCGUCUUAUUAGCUAGUUGGUAGGGUAAAUGCCUACCAAGGCGAUGAUAAGUAACCGGCCUGAGAGGGUGAACGGUCACACUGGAACUGAGAUACGGUCCAGACUCCUACGGGAGGCAGCAGCUAAGAAUCUUCCGCAAUGGGCGAAAGCCUGACGGAGCGACACUGCGUGAAUGAAGAAGGUCGAAAGAUUGUAAAAUUCUUUUAUAAAUGAGGAAUAAGCUUUGUAGGAAAUGACAAAGUGAUGACGUUAAUUUAUGAAUAAGCCCCGGCUAAUUACGUGCCAGCAGCCGCGGUAAUACGUAAGGGGCGAGCGUUGU